UACGUAGGGUGCGAGCGUUAAUCGGAAUUACUGGGCGUAAAGCGUGCGCAGGCGGAUUGUUAAGCAAGAUGUGAAAUCCCCGGGCUUAACCUGGGAACUGCGUUUGAAACUGUGGAGCUAGAGUACGGCAGAGGGGGGUGGAAUUCCACGUGUAGCAGUGAAAUGCGUAGAUAUGUGGAGGAACACCGAUGGCGAAGGCAGCCCCCUGGGCCGAUACUGACGCUCAGGCACGAAAGCGUGGGGAGCAAACAGG
Molecule: ribosomal RNA, 253 nt
Filed under: uncultured bacterium
Lineage: Bacteria
Description: partial 16S ribosomal RNA
Rfam family: Bacterial small subunit ribosomal RNA
Source: RNAcentral